UACCAGCACCCCGAGUGGUCGGGACGAUUAUUGGGCCUAAAGCAUCCGUAGCCGGUUCUGCAAGUCUUCCGUUAAAUCCAGCUGCUUAACAGUUGGGCUGCGGAGGAUACUAUAGAGCUAGGAGGCGGGAGAGGCAAGCGGUACUUAGUGGGUAGGGGUAAAAUCCGUUGAUCCACUGAAGACCACCAGUGGCGAAGGCGGCUUGCCAGAACGCGCUCGACGGUGAGGGAUGAAAGCUGGGGGAGCAAACCGG
RNAcentral lists this ribosomal RNA (253 nucleotides) under uncultured bacterium. RNAcentral's name for it is "partial 16S ribosomal RNA". It matches the Rfam family "Archaeal small subunit ribosomal RNA", at positions 474 to 727 of the family's 1478-position model. The record is from RNAcentral.